RNAcentral lists this ribosomal RNA (394 nucleotides) under uncultured bacterium. RNAcentral's name for it is "partial 16S ribosomal RNA". It matches the Rfam family "Bacterial small subunit ribosomal RNA", at positions 523 to 918 of the family's 1533-position model. The record is from RNAcentral.
AUACGUAGGUGGCAAGCGUUGUCCGGAAUUAUUGGGCGUAAAGCGCGCGCAGGUGGUUCCUUAAGUCUGAUGUGAAAGCCCCCGGCUCAACCGGGGAGGGUCAUUGGAAACUGGGGAACUUGAGUGCAGAAGAGGAUAGUGGAAUUCCAAGUGUAGCGGUGAAAUGCGUAGAGAUUUGGAGGAACACCAGUGGCGAAGGCGCUUGUUUGGUCUGUAACCGCCGCGGAGGCGAAAACGGUGGGGGAAAAAGCGGGAUUAGACCCCGGGGUUCCCCACGCCAAAAAGGAUGGGUGCUAGGUGGUGGGGAAUAUAUCCUCAGUGCCGCAGCUAACGCGAUAAGAACCCCGCCUGGGGAGUACGGUCGCAAGGCUGAAACUCAAAUGAAUUGACGGGG